UAGCUCAGUUGGUAGAGUGCUUGCCUUGCAUGCAUAGGCCCUGGGUUCAAUCCCCAG
This 57-nucleotide transfer RNA is filed under the name Marmota marmota marmota (Alpine marmot). It matches the Rfam family "tRNA", at positions 8 to 63 of the family's 71-position model. Rfam says of the family: Transfer RNA (tRNA) molecules are approximately 80 nucleotides in length. RNAcentral also lists the same sequence under 3 other names. Lineage: Eukaryota; Metazoa; Chordata; Mammalia; Rodentia; Sciuridae. The record is from Rfam by way of RNAcentral.